RNAcentral lists this ribosomal RNA (486 nucleotides) under uncultured bacterium. RNAcentral's name for it is "partial 16S ribosomal RNA". It matches the Rfam family "Bacterial small subunit ribosomal RNA", at positions 28 to 507 of the family's 1533-position model. The record is from RNAcentral.
GACGAACGCUGGCAGCGUGCUUAACACAUGCAAGUCGAACGCUGAAGACCUGGCUUUUGUUGGGUUGGAUGAGUGGCGAACGGGUGAGUAACACGUGAGUAACCUGCCCUCUUCUUUGGGAUAACGCCCGGAAACGGGUGCUAAUACUGGAUAUUCACUGAUCUUCGCAUGGGGGUUGGUGGAAAGGUUUGUUCUGGUGGGGGAUGGGCUCGCGGCCUAUCAGCUUGUUGGUGGGGUGAUGGCCUACCAAGGCUUUGACGGGUAGCCGGCCUGAGAGGGUGACCGGUCACAUUGGGACUGAGAUACGGCCCAGACUCCUACGGGAGGCAGCAGUGGGGAAUAUUGCACAAUGGGCGAAAGCCUGAUGCAGCGACGCCGCGUGAGGGAUGGAGGCCUUCGGGUUGUAAACCUCUUUCGCUCAUGGUCAAGCCGCAACUGUGGGUUGUGGUGAGGGUAGUGGGUAAAGAAGCGCCGGCUAACUACGUG